This 497-nucleotide ribosomal RNA is filed under the name uncultured bacterium. RNAcentral describes it as "partial 16S ribosomal RNA". It matches the Rfam family "Bacterial small subunit ribosomal RNA", at positions 36 to 507 of the family's 1533-position model. The record is from RNAcentral.
UCUUCCCUCUUUCUUCGUGCCUAAUACAUGCAAGUCGAGCGAACAGACGAGGAGCUUGCUCCUCUCACGUUAGCGGCGGACGGGUGAGUAACACGUGGAUAACCUACCUAUAAGACUGGGAUAACUUCGGGAAACCGGAGCUAAUACCGGAUAAUAUAUUGAACCGCAUGGUUCAAUAGUGAAAGACGGUUUUGCUGUCACUUAUAGAUGGAUCCGCGCCUCAUUAGCUAGUUGGUAAGGUAACGGCUUACAAAGGCAACGAUGCGUAGCCGACAUGAGAGGGUGAUCGGCCACACUGGAACUGAGACACGGUCCAGACUCCUACGGGAGGCAGCAGUAGGGAAUCUUCCGCAAUGGGCGAAAGCCUGACGGAGCAACGCCGCGUGAGUGAUGAAGGUCUUCGGAUCGUAAAACUCUGUUAUUAGGGAAGAACACAUGUGUAAGUAACUAUGCACGUCUUGACGGUACCUAAUCAGAAAGCCACGGCUAACUCCGUG